CUGCGCACUCCUUAUGAGAAUCUAACUAAUACCUGAUGAUCUGAGGUGGAACAGUUUCAACCUGAAACCAACCCCCACCCUGCCAUGGAAAAAUUGUCUUCCAGGAAACAUCCCUGGUGCCAUAAAAGUUGAGGACUGCUGUUUAUGACAUUUAUCCACCUAUACUGAUGGCAUUUCACAUCAGUAUUCACAGUUAUGUGAUCUCCUUAUCACACACUUUUUGGAAUCACCGAAGGACAGAUGCUAAUUGGUCUCUGAAAAAAGAUGAAUCUUCUGAUUUCCUUAGCACUAUGUUCACACUAACCUAAUGAGCUAAUUGAGGCUAGACAUGUAACUGGUGGGACUUGAUGUACACAAAGAAAAUUUUUAAAUUGAACGAAUAUUUUAUUUUUUAUAUAUUUUUUAUUGUAAUUUAGGUUCUGGGAUAUAUGUGCAGAUCAUG
Molecule: long non-coding RNA, 442 nt
Organism: Sapajus apella (tufted capuchin)
Lineage: Eukaryota; Metazoa; Chordata; Mammalia; Primates; Cebidae
Exons: 3
Source: RefSeq, a predicted model, not a curated record